RNAcentral lists this ribosomal RNA (420 nucleotides) under uncultured bacterium. RNAcentral describes it as "SSU rRNA". It matches the Rfam family "Bacterial small subunit ribosomal RNA", at positions 1 to 441 of the family's 1533-position model. The record is from RNAcentral.
UGGANUUCGGCUUAGAGUUUGAUCCUGGCUCAGACCGAACGCUGGCGGCAGGCCUAACACAUGCAAGUCGAACGCUCCAGCAAUGGAGAGUGGCAGACGGGUGAGUAACACGUGGGACCCUUCCCUUUGGUUCGGAAUAGCCCAGGGAAACUUGGGGUAAUACCGGAUAAGCCCUUACGGGGAAAGAUUUAUCGCCGAAGGAUGGGCCCGCCUCGGAUUAGCUAGUUGGUGGGGUACCGGCCUACCAAGGCGACGAUCCGUAGCUGGUCUGAGAGGAUGAUCAGCCACACUGGGACUGAGACACGGCCCAGACUCCUACGGGAGGCACGCAGUGGGGAAUAUUGGACAAUGGGCGCAAGCCUGAUCCAGCCCAUGCCGCGUGAGUGACGAAGGCCUUAGGGUUGUAAAGCUCUUUUGGCG